Molecule: ribosomal RNA, 253 nt
Filed under: uncultured bacterium
Lineage: Bacteria
Description: partial 16S ribosomal RNA
Rfam family: Bacterial small subunit ribosomal RNA
Source: RNAcentral
UACGUAGGUGGCAAGCGUUGUCCGGAAUUACUGGGUGUAAAGGGAGCGCAGGCGGGAAGCCAAGUCAGCUGUGAAAACUACGGGCUUAACUUGUAGACUGCAGUUGAAACUGGCUUUCUUGAGUGAAGUAGAGGUUGGCGGAAUUCCGAGUGUAGCGGUGAAAUGCGUAGAUAUUCGGAGGAACACCGGUGGCGAAGGCGGCCAACUGGGCUUUAACUGACGCUGAGGCUCGAAAGUGUGGGGAGCAAACAGG